UACGUACCGUACGAACGUUAUUCGGAAUUACUGGGCGUAAAGCGUGCGCAGGCGGUUCGUUAAGUCAGCUGUGAAAGCCCCGGGCUCAACCUGGGAAUGGCGGUUGAAACUGGCGAACUUGAAUCUGGCAGAGGGGGGUGGAAUUCCACGUGUAGCAGUGAAAUGCGUAGAGAUGUGGAGGAACACCGAUGGCGAAGGCAGCCCCCUGGGUCAAGACUGACGCUCAUGCACGAAAGCGUGGGGAGCAAACAGG
RNAcentral lists this ribosomal RNA (253 nucleotides) under uncultured bacterium. RNAcentral's name for it is "partial 16S ribosomal RNA". It matches the Rfam family "Bacterial small subunit ribosomal RNA", at positions 524 to 776 of the family's 1533-position model. The record is from RNAcentral.